RNAcentral lists this microRNA precursor (190 nucleotides) under Oryza brachyantha (malo sina). Its description in RNAcentral is "MIR812 microRNA precursor family". It matches the Rfam family "MIR812 microRNA precursor family". The record is from Rfam by way of RNAcentral. Lineage: Eukaryota; Viridiplantae; Streptophyta; Magnoliopsida; Poales; Poaceae.
AAUAAACCAAUUUUUCACCUUUUACCUACAAUUUUUGACUCUUUGUCUUAUUCAAUUUUUUUUGCGAUUGAUAUUUUUGUUUUUAUUAAAUGAUGAAUCAUGAAUAGUACUUUACGUGUGACUAAUUUUUUUCUAAUUUCCUAAAAACUUUUUAAAUAAGACGGAUAGUCGUUGGACACGGAAACCGAAG